This 903-nucleotide ribosomal RNA is filed under the name uncultured Bacillota bacterium. RNAcentral's name for it is "bacterial SSU rRNA". It matches the Rfam family "Bacterial small subunit ribosomal RNA", at positions 1 to 917 of the family's 1533-position model. Lineage: Bacteria; Bacillati; Bacillota. The record is from RNAcentral.
UGGAUCCAGACUUUGAUCAUGGCUCAGGACGAACGCUGGCGGCGUGCCUAACACAUGCAGGUCGGACGGAGCUCCGCCCUUCGGGACGGAACUUAGUGGCGAACGGGUGAGUAACGCGUGAAGAACCUGCCUUUCAGUGGGGGACAACAGUCGGAAACGACCACUAAUACCGCAUGAUGUUCUUUGGGGGCAUCUCUAAGGAACCAAAGCUUAAUGUGCUGAAAGAUGGCUUCGCGUCUGAUUAGCUAGUUGGCGGGGUAACGGCCCACCAAGGCGACGAUCAGUAGCCGGUCUGAGAGGAUGAACGGCCACAUUGGGACUGAGAUACGGCCCAGACUCCUACGGGAGGCAGCAGUGGGGAAUAUUGGGCAAUGGGGGAAACCCUGACCCAGCAACGCCGCGUGAAGGAAGAAGGCCUUCGGGUUGUAAACUUCUUUUACCAGGGACGAAGGACGUGACGGUACCUGGAGAAAAAGCAACGGCUAACUACGUGCCAGCAGCCGCGGUAAUACGUAGGUUGCAAGCGUUGUCCGGAUUUACUGGGUGUAAAGGGCGUGUAGGCGGAGGCGCAAGUUGGGAGUGAAAUCUAUGGGCUCAACCCAUAAACUGCUCUCAAAACUGUGCCCCUUGAGUAUCGGAGAGGCAAGCGGAAUUCCUAGUGUAGCGGUGAAAUGCGUAGAUAUUAGGAGGAACACCAGUGGCGAAGGCGGCUUGCUGGACGACAACUGACGCUGAGGCGCGAAAGCGUGGGGAGCAAACAGGAUUAGAUACCCUGGUAGUCCACGCUGUAAACGAUGAAUACUAGGUGUGGGAGGACUGACCCCUUCCGUGCCGCAGUUAACACAAUAAGUAUUCCACCUGGGGAGUACGGCCGCAAGGUUGCAACUCAAAUGAAUUGACGGA